This 254-nucleotide ribosomal RNA is filed under the name uncultured bacterium. RNAcentral's name for it is "partial 16S ribosomal RNA". It matches the Rfam family "Bacterial small subunit ribosomal RNA", at positions 524 to 776 of the family's 1533-position model. The record is from RNAcentral.
UACGGAGGGAGCGAGCGUUGUCCGAAGUUACUGGGCGUAAAGCGCGCGUAGGCGGGUAAUUAAGUGGGAAGUGAAAGGCUGGGGCUUAACCCCAUGCAGUGCUCCUCAUACUGGUUUUCUUGAGGGUGGUAGAGAGAAGUGGAAUGGCUGGUGUAGCGGUGAAAUGCGUAGAUAUCAGUCGGAACACCAGUGGCGAAGGCGGCUUCUUGGGCCAUUACUGACGCUGAGGCGCGAAAGCCAGGGGAGCGAACGGG